UCUUGUCAUGUUGAGUGCAUGUGACGCAGGACUUGAUGGCGGUCUCUACAGCUGCAUCCAUACCUGGCCACCAAUAGAGCUCCCUAAGUCUUUGCUUUGUACGUACAAUUCCCUGAUGUGUAUCAUGGGCAAUUUGGAUCAGUUUGGGCUGAAUUUCUCUUGGAACUACAACACGGUGAGUGCCACGGAUAACACAUUCAUCAUGUUCUGCAAGCUCAGUGUGAAUUUUGAAGUAUGGUACAAGAGCUGGAUCAAGACCUUUAGCAGUGCACGGCCAACCUGUCCUGAUGUACGCCCUCACCUGUUGUAGAAUAAGACAGUCUUUACAUGCAGCAGUCAGCUCUUCCAUGGUAAUGGCAGCAAAAUCAUCUGACACUAAUGCAACCGUCUCCAUGUCAGGUUCCACAUUGCAGUCAGUGUCAGGCAGUGGUAGACGUGAAAGACAGUCAGCAAUUACAUUGUCACAUCCACGUUUGUACUCAAUUGUGUAAUUGAAUGUCAACAGUCUUGCGGACCACCUAGCAAUUCUCAUGCCUGCUCUCCCAAGGCCCUUUG
Long non-coding RNA from Clupea harengus (Atlantic herring), 555 nucleotides. The record is from Ensembl. Lineage: Eukaryota; Metazoa; Chordata; Actinopteri; Clupeiformes; Clupeidae.